GCCUACGGGGGGCAGCAGUAGGGAAUCUUCCACAAUGGGCGAAAGCCUGAUGGAGCAACGCCGCGUGGGUGAAGAAGGUCUUCGGAUCGUAAAACCCUGUUGUUAGAGAAGAAAGUGCGUGAGAGUAACUGUUCACGUUUCGACGGUAUCUAACCAGAAAGCCACGGCUAACUACGUGCCAGCAGCCGCGGUAAUACGUAGGUGGCAAGCGUUAUCCGGAUUUAUUGGGCGUAAGGGAACGCAGGCGGUCUUUUAAGUCUGAUGUGAAAGCCUUCGGCUUAACCGGAGUAGUGCAUUGGAAACUG
RNAcentral lists this ribosomal RNA (305 nucleotides) under uncultured bacterium. Its description in RNAcentral is "bacterial SSU rRNA". It matches the Rfam family "Bacterial small subunit ribosomal RNA", at positions 337 to 635 of the family's 1533-position model. The record is from RNAcentral.